RNAcentral lists this ribosomal RNA (253 nucleotides) under uncultured bacterium. Its description in RNAcentral is "partial 16S ribosomal RNA". It matches the Rfam family "Bacterial small subunit ribosomal RNA", at positions 524 to 776 of the family's 1533-position model. The record is from RNAcentral.
UACAGAGGGUGCGAGCGUUAAUCGGAAUUACUGGGCGUAAAGCGCACGUAGGUGGCGACGUAAGUCGGGUGUGAAAGCCCCGGGCUCAACCUGGGAAUUGCAUUCGAGACUGCAUUGCUGGAGUACGGAAGAGGAAGGCGGAAUUCCCGGUGUAGCGGUGGAAUGCGUAGAGAUCCGGAAGAACACCGGAGGCGAAGGCGGCUUGCUGGACCUGGUCUGACGCUGAGGCGCGAAAGCGUGGGGAGCGAACAGG